AAAAUGUUUGAUGUUUGCAGAGGAUUUUUGAAAUUUUGGAGACUCAUAAAAUUAUACGAGUACGAGGCGUUGAUUAAAGAGCUAUAUGAAGGAGGAAUAAUGCAACUUAAUGACCCAACAACAACGCAAACGAAGAAGGAUUCAUUUCGGUGGCUUGCUGCUGUUUUUUUAUGAGGCGCUUUGGCCUCGAAGGCGAUUUGAACCCACCCAUUUUGGGACUACUGUGCGUGGCCGGGCCCGAUUAUUAUAAGCGUGUGUCAGUCAGUCAGUCAGUUAGUCUCUUUGUCUUACUGUCUGACUGUUGUGUGAGUAAACAGGAGCAGAAGCAAAGGCAGCAGCAGCAGCAGCAGCAGAUCCCAGGAUCCUUUUCGACUGACACCCAAGAGUCAUAAAACUAAACUACAAUACGCGCAUAUAUGUUCAUACGUAUAUAAACUGUGGGUCUAAGGGGUGGGUUGGGUUAAACAGCCCCUUGGACUUCGGUUUUGGGCCCUCUAAGGAUUAUUAUCAGGCAACAGCCCAAGGAGACGACGGCCACCAACCUAUCUAGAAUUCCCAUUUUGAGCGACAGUUAUUAGUUGUCAUAAAGUUGAAAAUUUAUGUUCGAAAUUUCCUCGCACCGGGGCCAGAGAAAUGGGCGAGAGAUCGCUUCCAGCCAAAUGGUGUGUUAAUAAUGAAAACUAUUUUCCAACCAAACUGCGGGAAAAGGUGUAAAAUUUUAUAAAAAGAAAACACACACACAAAAUUAACCAAAACCUUAAAGAAAUCAGGAGCGGAUCUACGAGUGUUAAAAAGAAUGAAAAUUCCAAUCAAGAAAUAUUCAUAAAAUGUAUAUAUAUUCUAAGAAAGCAGGGCCAGAUUUUAAACUGGCUUUCUGUGUUUUAAACUCCUUUUAAAUGUGGAUUGAUAGAAAUAUUUAAAGAUAGAUUUUUCCUCCAUAACUUACCCUUUGAUCCGCUCCUGUAUAGUGUCUCUUAAAAGUGCACUGAACUCAUAUAAUCCAAAACUGAUAGCAAAAA
Long non-coding RNA from Drosophila willistoni, 1019 nucleotides. RefSeq lists it as uncharacterized. The record is from RefSeq and is a predicted model, not a curated record. NCBI's taxonomy places the organism in Eukaryota, Metazoa, Arthropoda, Insecta, Diptera, Drosophilidae. The transcript is spliced from 3 exons.